GUGCAUCUACUUGCCAGGCCUGGAGCAGUUACCGUCUGCUGCUGAGGUUUCCACUACAGAUGCAAGAAAAAAGUAUCCUCGCGCUUUCUGUCUUUCUGAUUGUGGCAGACAAGAUUGAACAGGGGAAUUCUGUA
This is a small nucleolar RNA of Camelus dromedarius (Arabian camel), 134 nucleotides long. The record is from Ensembl. NCBI's taxonomy places the organism in Eukaryota, Metazoa, Chordata, Mammalia, Artiodactyla, Camelidae.